Hipposideros armiger (great roundleaf bat) is the source of this 1041-nucleotide long non-coding RNA. RefSeq lists it as uncharacterized. The record is from RefSeq and is a predicted model, not a curated record. The transcript has 6 exons. Lineage: Eukaryota; Metazoa; Chordata; Mammalia; Chiroptera; Hipposideridae.
GGAUUCUGACCCCCAGUUUCGUCGUCUGUAAGGCCUGGCUGCCAGUACUCCCAGGAGAGGAGUGGAGCCCCAGCUGCCCGCUCUUGGGGAAGGGGUGGCUGCUGGGGCCAUGGGGCCAAGAGGACAGCUUGGAGGACUCCAUGGGGAGAGAGAGGCCCUGGAGACAGGUGUAGAAAGGGAGGCCUGGGGGCAGGGUGGGGAAAGGCGGAGUGGAGGCGGAGCUUGAAAGUGGAAGGAGGAAGAGGAUGUGAGCGGGGCUUCAAGGCCAGCUCCUGCUCGGGCCAAACCAGCAUGAACCAAGAGCACGGAGAGGGCCCUUUCCCUACCCCAGAGCCGGCCCGGCUGAGGGUCCCUCUGCAACAGGGAGACUGCGAUGCCUGCUUCUCGGAAGGAGAGAAAAGACGAGGAGGCUGAGUCCGGAGGGCUUCCUGGAGGUGGUGGGCCAGCACUUUGGAAAGGAAGCUGAGUGCUGACCUUGUGAACUCACGUGACGAUCUUUGAGGGUACUCACCCCCCAUCCCGGGGCCAUUUGACAGCCAGGAACCCAGAGGAUCUACCAGGACGGCUUCCCACCAGGGGCCACACCCCAUGGGGAACUGCAGCCCAGGGCCCAGCCCAGGUGCUCAGAAAAUGGUUUUGGAAACAAGACCUAAAAAGUAUCUACCUCACUGGCCAAGAGACCCGCCUCUCUGGUCAGCGCAACUGAAGUCGAUGGAGACUGCUGGCUCGUAGCAGGAACGUCACUGCCCACAGCCUGGUUCGUGAGGACGCCGGACCUCUCUGGGAGCUUGGACGGGAGGCUGGAAGGAGUGCAGGAAGCGAGAGAGAGGGCUAAGGUGGACAAGGCCACCCUCCCUCGAGGUGGUCAGCGCUUGGAGCCACCCAGCAGUGUCACCACGGACAGAUGGGACCCCAGCUUUUUGCUCAGCAGGCCCGGGGCGGGGCCCUGUCAUGUGCAUUUGAAUCAAGUUCUUUCCUACUUUAAAAAUUACCAAAAUUGUAACAGAUGAACAUAAACAGUAAAAAAAAAGGCUAAAAUGA